AUUGAACGCUGGCGGCAGGCCUAACACAUGCAAGUCGAGCGGAUGAAGGGAGCUUGCUCCUGGAUGCAGCGGCGGACGGGUGAGUAACGCCUAGGAAUCUGCCUGGUAGUGGGGGAUAACGUCCGGAAACGGGCGCUAAUACCGCAUACGUCCUGAGGGAGAAAGUGGGGGAUCUUCGGACCUCAGGCUAUCAGAGGAGUCUAGGUCGGAUUAGCUAGUUGGUGGGGUAAAGGCCUACCAAGGCGACGAUCCGUAACUGGUCUGAGAGGAUGAUCAGUCACACUGGAACUGAGACACGGUCCAGACUCCUGCGGGAGGCAGCAGUGGGGAAUAUUGGACAAUGGGCGAGAGCCUGAUCCAGCCAUGCCGCGUGUAUGAAGAAGGUCUUCGGAUUGUAAAGCACUUUAAGUUGGGAGGAAGGGCAGUAAGUUCAUACGUUGAUGUUUUGACGUUACCAACAGAAUAAGCACCGGCUAACUUCGUG
RNAcentral lists this ribosomal RNA (484 nucleotides) under uncultured bacterium. RNAcentral describes it as "partial 16S ribosomal RNA". It matches the Rfam family "Bacterial small subunit ribosomal RNA", at positions 30 to 507 of the family's 1533-position model. The record is from RNAcentral.